Molecule: RNA transcript, 17102 nt
Organism: Manis pentadactyla (Chinese pangolin)
Lineage: Eukaryota; Metazoa; Chordata; Mammalia; Pholidota; Manidae
Gene: MAF
Gene name: MAF bZIP transcription factor
Exons: 3
Source: RefSeq, a predicted model, not a curated record
UCACUUAUGAUAUAAAUCUUCAAGAUCUUUAGACAUCAAACCUCCCUAGGAAAGGGGAAUUCUCUCCAAGCCUUGCUCCGCCCCGGCUCCUGAACAAGCCCAGCUCUGUCUGGCAGUUUUUCUCCAGCGGGGGUAGGGGACAGGGUGAGAGAUUUUCAGUCUCCCAGACUGUCUCAUGAUUGUCCGGGCAUAAAGAAGUACAGUACUGCAACAAUGUGGGGACAUCUUUACCCUUUAGAGAGGGACAAAACAAACAACAAAGCAAAUCAAAUUGCUGUGCAUGAAGGCGUAGCAAAAGGCAAGACUCCCGGUCCCCUGCACCAUCUGUGGGCAGUGAGAAAUGAGGGUGGCCAUCGAGAAUGGUGAGCAGGACUUGGAGGACAAGAGCUCCAGGAAGAAUCCUAGGGGCCAGUCAGAUUUCCCCUCGAUGGCUUAACGUCAGACCCAGUGUCCACGCAUGCCAGGUCCAAACAAGAUCCGACUGUCCAUUUCUUUCACAUAUGCUCACAUGUAUUUCGUUUUUGAAAUGAGCUUUAGACAUUAAACCCAAAUUGAGAAAUCUGGGGCGAUUGUUCCUGUCUUAACGUUGGGGCAUUUAUAAAUAAAUCAAUCUGUGAUUUUAUGGUGGUGACAUUUUCGAUCAAUUGGUCAUGUCGUGCCAAUAUUUGUAUGGUUACUGCAAUAGGUUUUAUGCAUUGUGACAAUUUUUAUUGUUUAAAUUUGAAAGCCCUCUGUGUUUUCCAUAAGUUUGCCUGAAAUAAUAAGUCUGAGAUAGGACACAUCAACAGCACACAGAAAUCAGAUCUUCAUAGAAUUUGCAUCAGAGGUGGACAAUUUCAAAUAACUCAACAAACACAUUUUCCGCAGAGACUCUACGUCUGGAAUGCACAUUUCCUUACCCAAAUCAUAACCAUUUACUGAGCGCCUCUUCUCUUCAACCAAAUUCAUUUUCUUUUCCAUUCUUUUUGUUAAAUAAUGAUUUUUUCCUAUAAUUAGGACUUUGGAUUGCAAAAUCACAUUCCUCCUUUCUCCACAGAUUCUUGGAUCUUUAGUUGCGAUUAGAGACAUUAAUUCAAGAAGGGAGGAUGAGGGAGGGGAGUGUCCGUGGAUGUUUUUGGGAAGAGGAGAGGAGAGAGGAAAUAGUUCUGUGUCCACCACUCACUCCCCGCAGUUCCCUCCCGGCCAGGCCUGGGUGUGAGCUGCCUGGGGGGAUUUCGAUUCUGAGUUUAUUCUCAAAAUUCUGCUCACCAGCCUUGGGUGUUCUCGAGCUAAGAUUCCGAAGGAUGGCUGUUCCUUCUGGUUGGUUCUUUUGGUCAGGGUCAGGGACUAGGAGAGGCCGCUAAACCUUAGAGCACUUGGGUGGGGAGACGUGAGAACUGAUUUCCUGAGAGAAUCCCAACAAGGAGGGAUUGUUGGGAAUCCUGGCCCGAAAAGUGGGACCUGCAGUGCAGAUUCUUUUUGCCCUGGUUCAAGGUGACCUCAUUCAUUCCUAGAAGCCCGUGUGGGUUUCUGGUCUUCUCAGAGGGGUUUGCCGGGAGGAAAGCAGGCCCGAGGAGGCCAGGACAAUGGCAGUCCAAGCUAGGCCCAGGGGAGCAGAGCACAGGAAGGGGCCGAGGGGAGUAUUGCUUACAGAGGCCAACCUUGGCUUUUGACCCCCAUCGCUAGGGGUCAAUCCUAGGUCAUUCCCAGGGCCCUGGCUUCCCCCCAGGAAGGAUCUGUUUGCAGGGGCUGACAGACCCUGAAGUCCCCAUAAUUCCUAAAACAUUAACGAUGUCCUUAGCUUCAGAGCCCUGGCCCCUGACAACCUGACCCUUGUCCCAUCCCAGUUGUUCUCCAUGAUUUUAGCACCUCUUCUCCCCAGCCUAGUCACCCAGGGCCAUCAGAUAGACUCAGGUCACUGCCCUUGGGCCAGAAGGCAGUCACCUGAACUAAGGCCUUAGACCCAUUAAGUUAGUGCUGCCCCAGUUUAAGUGUAGACAAAGGCAGGCAUGGGAAGGAGGGCUGGGUGCUUGGCUGCCAGAAGGGCUGGGAGGUGGCUGUGGAAUGUUGAACGCUGGCGACAGCUUCUGGUGCCAGGGGUUUGGAAGCCUGGAAUGAAGGAGAUGAAGGCCUGGAGGAUGCUCAGGUGGCCCCCUGUCCCAGUUUCUAUAUCCCCCCCCAGCCACCGCACCUCCUCCUCCCCGCCUGGUCCCUGUGUGUGUUUCCGCUUGCUUUGCGCGGCCCUCUCGCCCCGGCUUUGCUGUCCCAGCUUGAGUGGGUCCAGGUGCGCUCCUCAGCCUCGUGGGUCUCGAACCGCGCGCAGCAGGUGCGGAAGGACGCGAGGCGGGGCCGCGGGGGCGGUCCCGGCGGCUACCUGAGACCACCGGGAAGUCCCUGCGUGCCCCACGCCCGCGGCGGCGCCUGGGGAGGCGGGCCGAUCAGGACGCCGGCCGUGCGGCUCCCCUCGGAGAUGCCCAAGACGCCGGCCGGCGCCCGGGGGCGCUAAGCCUCCAAACCCCGCGUGCCCCAGGGCCCCGCUCCCGCCCGGCGCCCGCGCCCCAGCCGGAGUCUCGAAUGCGUACUGGGAUGUGAUUUAAAAUUUUCCAGGAAGACUGCCCUGGCCAGAGAGGAGCACCCCCGGGUACCCAAGGGAAUCCUCUACAUCAGUGAUGUGAUCCUGUUGCCUGAAGUCAAAGAGGAGUGGAGUUAAUCACCUGGGAGGUCAUGCAGAGGUCGCUGGAGCUGCAAGCUAUGUUGAAAUAAAGGUGACAGCAAGUGAGGAGUGGAUCCCUAUUACUUCCACCCCCUCUCCCCCAGCAGAUUUCUCAUUCCGUUUUUGGUAUCCCAACCUCUGGACAAAAGAUCAGGUUUUAUGCUAGAGGAGCACAGAAGGCAAUCUGAAUAAAUAGAUGUCCAAGUCUUUUCCCAUUUCUCAUCUUUUCUCUCUGUCUUUUUCUCAAGUCAGAGAAGAAGAGUAAAAUUCAGACUAAGAUUUCGGUGCUUGCUAAUGACCGUGCUGCCCUCACUACUGGGCUUAGGGUACCAAGCUUUAAUAUCAGGGAUUUUUUAGCAUCCCUAAAUUUGCCUUUCAUUUUUGCUUCAGACGCUAUAAAAUAGAAGUGGCAGGAUUGCUGGAUACCCCUUCAGAUUGGUCCUUUGUAUGGAAAAGCAGUAUUUAGAGAGAAACAAAAUACAGGCCAUUGCUCGACUCCCUUUUAAAAGUAUAAGCUUCCCUUCUGUUGAUAAAAAGGAUAGCCCUUGUGGAAUAGAUAAACAAUGUCUUGGUUAAAGUUCUUGGUCCAUGGGUACAGUCUAAGUUUUAUACAAAGAGGCCAGUGAAGAGAAGAUAAAUAUAGAGAGAAAAAGAAAGAGGCUAAGACACUGAGUUAUCCCAAAGGGCAUUCCUGUAUUAGUCAUCUUAUAAAAAUGAUACGUACCACAGAAUAUCUAUUUUUAGAGGCCAGGAGGUUAUGUGAAGCAGUUCAGAUGUCGGCAAAGACCCAGAGGCCAGCUCCUAGUGAUGAUAUUGGAUAUUUAGAUAUUUAUUUUCUUUAUUUUAACUGUGCAAAGCUGGUACUGACCACAUGGACCUGUUGGCCACUUGGGGACAGUGUGACAAGUUCCAUGUGCUUCCUCAAAGACAUCUGAGACCUAAAGUGAUUCUUUUGUGUUAUUUUUGUCCAUGGUCUAGGCCUGGGCACCACACAUGCACACACACACACGGGAGCGGCUCAUUAUGCACACUGUUUAAUUAUCACACCCAGCGGAGACCUAUUUCAGAAGAGGAAAGGAUGUCCCCAGCUCUCACACUAGGACUCAACUUUUAUUAAAAGCCUGAAGGAGCAUGAGGAAGAGACCUCUCCAUUCCUCCUAAUGAUCUGAUUAGGGUAUUUUAUUUCAGCUCUUUCUCAGGAGUUAAAUCUUAGCUGAGUGUCUAGAGGCAGGUAGCUUGCAGCUUCUCUCCAGGGCAGAGCACAUGCUAGCUGGCUCCUGAACAGUUGCAAAUCUGUGGGAUUCAGUGAUUGGAGCUGAAUUAAACCGCACCUGAAAUGCACGGCCCUCUCACCUGCUGCCCAUGCGCUUUGCUUCUCUGUCCUUUAUUCAGUCAAACCCUGCUCCAGGAGGCUUCUCGAGGCUCCACUCUCUGAUUUGCUCCAAAGACGGGUCUUACCCUGGUUGGGGGCUGCUGUCAUAGGCGACCCUGCACAGCCCGGCGGUUGGCCUUCUGUCUGUCCAUGACCCUCCUCCCUUCUUCCAGUCCAGAGUCCGGGGCCUGUUUCUACCCCACACUCCAUGCAGGUAGUCGGACAGAUUCAGGGCUGGAGAAAGGUACUCAGGAGUACACGGUGCCUCUCUCCAGGCCACUGGGGUAGGCUCUGCAGAUUUAGCAGAGAAAAAAACACAGGACCCCCGGUUCAAUGUGAAUUCCAGAUAAAUGACAGGUAUAUUUUUAGUGUAAGUAGGUCCCACACAGCAUUGGGACCUACUUAUAUUAAUACAUUUUCAUUGUUUAUAUGAAAUUCAGUUUGAACUGGAAGCCAUGUAUUUUACCUGGUGACCCUCUCCCAGGGCACCUUUCUUACGGGCAGUCACACGGGCCCCAGCCCAUCCUAGCCCCUCUUCAGACAGACAGCACUUAGGAACGAAGAGAGGACACCACCCUCUGAAAUCCCACUGGUGCUGAUUUUCUUAUCCUUAGGAGGACCUGAGGUUCCCUGGCUUAGGCAUGACUCCCAGGACCCUUUCCUAGGAAUCAGCUGCAGCGGUUGGGGGCUGUUUCACUGUAACCCCACUGCCUUGGAAGACCUGGAAGUUACCGCCAAUGCUCGGGCCAGGGCAUGAUUCUAAGGGCUCUACAGCGAUACAACUAAAAUGUCUCAUGUUGGCGCUGCUUUUCAUUUAGACAGUUCAAAGCAUGUGCUUCGUACUUCCUGCUGACCCCCCAACCACUGAGUGAGACAGGACUUGUAGGAAAAUCGGUCUUGGGGACUUGUGACUUAACCCAAAGCCUUCUGGCUGACCACUGGUGGGAUGCAUUGAGGGCGAGCCUCCUGGAUUCUCUUUCACUGGCCUGUCCGUAGACACAGCAGCUGCCUGGGCCUUGCGUCCUUUCUGGCCACAGGGAGGUGACUCAGGGUAGUGACCAAUUGCCCUUCUUUCCUUUGCUAGGCCUGUCCUUUUACUAGCUCCAGGAUAUUAAUUAUGCAAAGAGUUAACCAUAAUUAAUUUUGAAAGGAGACUAAACAAACCAUGCUUAUUAUUAAUUUCUUUAAUUACAUAUUACUUUUUUAUAUAUUUAUUUCUAAAGUAGUCCAAUAAAGUUCACAAAAUUCAGAAAAACAUUAACAUUAAAAUAAUAAUCACUAAGGUCCACUCUCAAUACACUAGAAAGACCCUUAUUAACAUUGUGUUUUUUAUCUGUAUCUAUUUUUGAGGCAUACCUAAACGCACAUGUCCAUUCAAAUUUGUGUAAAUGCCUUGAAACACACUUUAUGAAAUUAAUAAUGUCCUUAAAUAUUUUAUCCUGUUUUUUCACAUAGUGUACCCCACAUACCUUUUCAAGGGCAUUUAAAUGUUCUUUGAGAGAAUGGGGUUUACAUACUUCCCAAUAUUCACAUCUGUUUCCUCUCAUGCCUUCAGGGGGCUCUGAAUUCUAACUAGGCCCCUGCAGAGCCCUGAUGUCAUGGGUCACCUGGAUGGAAAACGUUCUGGAUGGUUAGAAACCCGUGUCCACUCCCGGCCGGUUUGUACUGCUCAGGAGACCUAAGAAAGCCAGCCAACCAUCAUGUCACGUUUUCUGCAUAUGAGAAACGGGAAUGUGCCCAUGUUCUUCUCAAGCUAGAAGAAAUGGAAAGACAAACAGGACUUUAAAAGAAAACGUUUGGGUAUGUCUUCAAGGUUGGGUGCUCCCGACAUACAUAAGCUGUAUUUAUGCUUGUCUGGGCCCCACUUGAGGGUUCACACAUUAUUCUGGCUCUUUGAGAAGAAAAUUCUCUCCUGACACUUGAUGAAUAUAUGUCAUCCCCUGUCUGAACUUAAGUGAAAAUAAGCAUUUAUUGAGCACUUAGGAUCCAUACACCCAUCUAUGCAUUCAGCCAAUCUUUAUUACAUGCCAACUACCUGCUGGGCACUAUGCUGGGCACAUGGACAUGAAUGAUUCCACUUCACCCUCCAGAAACACCCUGAGAUGUCAGUAUUGUUAUUAUUAAGGCUCCGUUAAGAAGUAUUUUAAAAUAAUUAUAAGGUCACAGAAGGUUGUUGAAAUAGUACAUAGAGUUUUAGACACGCUCCCUCCAAAUCUCCCCAGUGGUGAAUUUCUACCUAUUUCCCCUGCUCCCUUCCUUCUUCCUUCCCUGCCUCUCUCUUUCUCUUUCUUUCUUUUAUACAGAAGGACACCGAGGCUCAAGACAGCUAAGUAGCUUUCUUAAAUGAAAUAUCAGGAUAAUAUAUGUAAGGACAUUAUGAAUUUUAAAAGUAUGUUUCUAGGCAUUUACACAAGCAUGAAUGUAUGCAUGUAUUUAUGUGCCUUAAAGAACAGAUACAAACAAAAAGACCAAAGUGUUAAUACGGGUUUCCUCAGCUAUCAAAGCAUGACAGAGUGAUGGUUAUUUUCAUAUUCAUGUUUUUCUCUAUGUCUUGAUGUUUCAUUUUUACAUUUCCACCUAGUUAGAGGAGGGUGGAGACUAGGAUCUAACUUGGGUCUGUUUGAAUCCACAUAAAACCCCUCCCACCUCCCAGGGGAAUGUAUGCUGAUUCACAAGAGCCCAGAGGGAGUGUGAAAUCUUUUAUUUCAGAGCCAGGAGUACCAGUCAGUCAUUUCCCGCUUCCCAGCGUGCUUCAGGACACCCCUGAAGUAGCCCUUGUGUCCUAGAGUGGUUUUCUUCUCAGCUGGGGGAAGAAUUUGGGUUGACUUACUAACACUACAGGUAGAAACAAAAAUAGAACCCCCUGACCAUUUGUUUCCUCUUGUGGACACCCAGCUUUGCUCAGUGGGGCUGGAGGAGAUGCUGCUUCUAUAAAUAUACAGAUGCAGGAGGAUCUGCCUCCGGGUCAUCAGCCCCUAGAUGGGACUGCAGAGAAUGCAUGCUACUGCAGGCACCCAGCUCUGAGAAAGCUCUGGAUUUCUGAGACUCCCUGAACACUUAGUGAUCGUACAUAAAGAAGCCAAAGACAGCCAAUUUCCUUUUCAGAGUUUUGGAUUUUUCUGUCCAGAAUGCAUAUAAGCAUGUGUAUUCAAUAAUAGCACUAACACAAUAGGAAGCUCUCUACUGGCUUCCCUCUUACCUCUUUGCUCCUGUCAAAUGGAUACCUGAACGCCUUAAGUCAAACUGUAUUUUAUUCAGAGAAUGGGUUACUUGAGAUAUGGUUGUGACAUUAACCAGGGCCAAGCCCAGUGGCAGUUCCGCCAAGAGCCUUCAUGUGGAAUCUGGAUUUCAGCACAGGAAGAGCCCAGCUUCGCUCUGUUUUUGCUUGGCUUGGAUGCUUUUGCUCAGUUCCUACCCAAGUGGCAGGGGUUUUUGCCAAGAGCAGGAUGAGUUCCUGGCCACGGGGACAGUGUCUGUUGACAGCAUGGGUGGUUCACAGAAGCAAAUGCCUCCAACUGCAUGGGUCCAACUUCCUUCAUGAUGGACGGGAUUCCAGAGAAUCAUACCCUUGCUACUUGACCUGCCAUGAGAAGGAGCAAAGGGCUGCUGGCACUGUGGAAUUGGAUGUGGCCAAAGAACUGAAGGGGACAGAGGAAAACUCUUGGAAUAUGAGACCCCUGAAUCCUCAAAUUUCACUUUUCAAAACUGCUGCCUUCCUUCUUUUCUGUCGGUCUUGAACCAACAUGUUGCUGGGCCAUUUUACCAGGAGACCCUUCUCGGGAGGCCUUCCCAAAUCGCCAGAUAAUAUUCUCUUCAAACUACUGUGGGAUUCCUACCCACGCUCCCCACCCUCACCCCCUGCACACACACACAGUCUGCUCUGGGAAGUGGUGUUGCUGAUCCCGAAAUGCAAUACUGGGACCCCAUCAAAUGGAAGCACCCCAGAUUCCUGUGUCAUGAGGUCACCAAAUAUUGGCAUUAGAAAGGGAAUCUGGUAGACAUGAAGUUUCCGCUCUUUUCCCUGGUGGGACUUGAUCUGCUGAGCCCGAACGAAGGGAAAUAUUUUCAAGACCUUCUAAUAUGAGAUGCCAUCGAGUGAAUGACUUCUUUUGUGUGAGGGGCUGAUUCCUCUCUUCUUGAGGUUAUUUAGAUUCCACUUAAGCAAGGUAAGAAGGCCAGCUUAGGGCUAUGUUUGGAGACAGUGAAGCAGAUGGAACUAUUAUCAAAGAAAACAGGAAGCUCUGAUAUUUUGUGGGCAAUUUUAUUUUGUGAGGGGAGAGCUUUGGGGAACCAAAACCAAACUGUAUCUUUCUAGUAGAGAUCCAAAAAUAUGGUCUAUCCCUGGAAACAGGCAAGUUUACUAAACCGCAAAUGACACAUAGCCAUUUCCAACUGAACGGAGCCAGGUUCCCCUGCAGGGCUGGCGGGCUGGAUUUGACUGGUACCAGCUCACAAGGGCCAAGUGUUAAAUUUCCAGAAAUUUCGAGUCAGUGUUUAUAUACAGCCAUUAUUAAAACCUAAAUCAUGUAAACUUACAGUCAAAUGCCUUCAAUUUUUAAAGACGUACUAAGUACUCAAAAAUCCUCACUCUCUAACUCUCUUGCUGUGCUGUACUAUUAUCUUUGCUUUUGUUAUGAUCUGCACCUAUUGUACCACGUAGUGGGGGAUCACUGCACAUCCCUUCCCACCUCCACAUUUGGGGACAUCACGGGAGCUUGAAAUUGACCAGGGUGCUGCAAAUCAAAUUGCUUCUCCUUUUUUUUUUUUUUUUUUUUGUCCGGGAGAGCCAGUUGUAAAAUAUUUACCAGCACACUACUCAUCUGCAGGACCCAUCCCCAGUGUUUAAAACCAGGAACUGGACCUGCAGAGUCAAGGAGAUGUGUGUCUGGGCAAACUGCCUCUGGCCAUUCGUCAGAACCUACAGUUAGUGGGCAUCCGUCCAUUCACAUCUGAGGCAGAAGAGACAAGAAGAUUAUUGUACAUGGGGUUGAAUGAUGUGAACUCUCACAUCAGUUCGUUUCAUUUUUCCUAAUGAAUUAAGAGCCUUUUAUACCAUUUAGCUACUGUCCUACAGAAGCUUGGCAUUUUAAGGCAAGGAAGUUUAUUUCCUCACGUGUUUCUAAGAAUCUUCUUUCCAGCCUUCUAUAUGGGCUUUGACUUACAGGGUAUGAAUAUCAGUAACCAUAUGCUUUCUCUAGCUUUUCUUCCCCCUUUCCUGCUUGGUGCAUAGCAUUCUUCAUGAAAGCCACAAUUAUUGCUAGAAAAGACCCCGACUCCUGAAAAUUAUGGUUUUGUGACAAACAUAUUAAGCUUUUCUAUAAUGCCAUUUGCAGCUUUAAUCAUAUUUUUAAAAAAGGAGGUUGAAGAAACCCAGCAUCUUCUUUUGUUGAUGUAAAUGAAGGGAACUCAAAUAUAUAACAUCAAAAACCAUUAUCAGUGAAAAGUUGCAGCUGAAAUUGAAUGAUGAAUUUUUCAACUUAAAGGGAUUUGAAAAGUUUACUCUGAUUUAUUCCCUUUUUUCCCCUCUGUUGGAAUAAUAUAGUUUUGCUUGAUCUUGUUGCCUUUCUAAAUUGAUCAAGUGGCUGCCAAUAUUUGGAGGAAGAAUAAAAAGGAGUCCAACCUACUACAUCUUUGUUUGGUCCUCCAAGGCCCCUCUGUCCCCCUCCAAGUGCCUGGCCGUGGACAGAGCCAUGUUUUAAUAUCUGUUGUCUUGCCAAGUCAAAAAGGGAUUCACUGUUCUCAAGGUCUCUGGACUAUCACUUUCCCCAAAACAUCCAUCCCGGGUAUUGCGGGAGGCAGAGAAGCUCUGCAUAGCUAUUUAUUUUAAGUGCCUGAUUAAAAUUUCAUGAAAACAGGAAGUCAGGGGAAAAGAAUAGAUUGCAAGAGCGAUGAAAUCCGGGGCUUUGUAAUUUUUAGCUCACAGGGAAAAAAAAAGCGUUAAAUCGUAAGGAAGGUAUAUUUUCAGAAUCGUGCUGUGGCCACUAAUGGCAUAUUUUGUCACUGGCUGGGGAGCUGGUGAACUAAGAAUGGGCUCAAUUUUUUAAAUCUUAUUACACAGUUUUGCUCUCAUUUAGAAAUUGUCACCUUAAAGUAACCUAAUGCUGCUCUACUUAAAGCAAACCUCAUGCACUAUCUCUGUGUGCAUGCUGACCACGUUGCCUUCUAUCUAAGCAGAUAUAAAUGUUGUCCUGACACAAUCAAACAGCACAGAAUCUGUCCACCCCAUAAGUUGGUGUUGCCUAAGAACUUAAUCUUAUCUAACUCCCAUAUCCAAUGGGAUAAAGAGUUUUGGGGAAAGAAAGUAAUGACAUAUUUUUUUGCUGGAUGACAACUGAAUUAUUUCUUUAUACGGUCAAUGGGAAGUGAUGUUUCUCCAAAGAAAUAUCUGUCACCACUUAGCUGUCGAGGAAGUCAGCAUUCAGAAAAAAAGAAAAACAUAAAGAAACCAUAGGCACACUAAAGCUUUCAGUGCGACCCAGUGCAAUUGUAGGGGCACAAAUGACACAUCAAAUGUUCCUGUUGUGAUGCUGUUCCUGGUCAUUCCAGAAUCCCAGAUGGAUGCUGGAUAGCCAACUGUAAGCUUCGGGAUCUCAAGCUGAGCUGUCAUUUGGCUGACCAGACAGGAAUAAUUGCAACAGGCUAAUGGCUAGUAAGUUUCAUUUGCUCAUCUUAAAUAAAUCCCUAUCUGAAAAAAAAAAAAAACCGGCUUCAAAGUCCAGUCGCAGGGGGAGGCGUAAUCCUUAGGAGAUGGGUCGGCAUGCAGCGGGAAAUCGAGCAAGAUGGAAUUGCACGCCCCCCUGGCUGAUGCAGCUAACUCACUUCCCCUCCCCUUAGCAAAGGUUAAGUCCUUUAGAUCUCUUUCCGGGUCUCCCAUUUGCCCAUGGAAACUGACCUGCACAGGGUUGAGAGACUUUUAUCGAGUAGGAAAAGCAACUGAGGAUGCUGAUGGGAACAGUGGGAUGUCAGGGCGUCCUUUCCAAAGCUCCUCAAAUCCCCCUGGGCCUGAGUAGGCUGCAGUGUAUCCCUGGGGAAAUCCAAGUAUCUCCAGGAUAAGUGUGUGUGUAUUUACACAAGGUAGCUUGGGGUCAUUUCAUGCUGAAUACCACUGGACCUUCACAGCUAUGUUAAUUGAGGUAGAAGAAAAGGCAAUAAACCACAGUAAACGUUUCAAGUCCCCUCAAAGUUGGAAGGCCAGUCAUUUAACUGAAGCUGCUGUCGGCCUAAUGAACUCGUUGCCAUGGGACUGAGUUGGUAGACAGGCCUUGCUGCAUGAUGAUCUACACCACUCAAGGACUUAUCAUUUGCACAAUGUGUGACAGUGGAUGAGUCAUUGCAUCUCUCUGUCCCUCAGUUGCCCCCCCAUCUGUAGAAUGGGGCUUCUGAUAGUUGUUAUGCUCACUGCUCCCCACCUCUGUCAGCACUUUCUUAAGAAUGGGCUUUGUUUGCCUUGGAAUUCUUUGCUAACUCCUCUGCAAACUUCACUACCUCCCUGGGUAGCCACUGUCUCUUGCUCAACAAUCCAGUCUCACCAUUCAGCAACGUGUCUGGCCACAGUAGUUGCACUGUAGUAAAUAUCUGUAGAAUGAAUGAACAAGAGAAUGAAUACUUUAAGACUGCUGUGAGAAUAGAUAUAAGACCAUACGUCACUGCUCCUUGAAGACUUUCAGAGAGCCAGCAUUUCCUGUGCUGGGGUCAGGUCUGAGCAGAGAAGGACCCGCUGUUUCCUGGUCACCCCAAAGGAGCAGCUGUAGAGAGGCGUUCUCCUCCCAGCUACGGUGGAGGAAUAAUGUUAGCACAGUCAUAGCUGGGAGAGGAAUAGUUAAUUGAAUGGAAUAGAUAACUACUCUGGCUUUGCCACAUAGAAAGCUCUGUGCUGUAAUUUCAUGACCAUAUCUACUGUCAAGCACUAUUGACAAAUAGAUCAGGAAAAACAUAUGAAGAAAAGAAAAACAACUAGAUGCUAGGAGAGAAAUCUCUUGGGAGGAGCAUUUGUAUGAUGGGUCCGAUGCUAUCAUUCAGAAAACCCUCAAAAUUCUUUUCCCAUCCCUCUGUCUUUCUCCUUGUGCUGCAUAUGAUUUUGAGGCAGAAGACGUGGUGUCUCUUCUCUGGAAUUUGGAAAUCUAAGCCUGGUGCUCCCAGGGAGAUAUGCUUCUCAGAGUUCUCCAACUGCAUAGCAUUUAUGAAGCAACUUCCUCCAAGGAGCCCCAAGCAUUUAGAAUCCUAAUCAAAUUCAGCCUUACAACAUUCGGUGAUAUUAAAUGACUUUUGCCCAAAGCUCCAGCAAGCAAGCCAUCAUCGGAUUGGCAAGAAGCCUCUGUGAUUUAAUCACAGGCUUCUGUAGACUCACAGAGCACUUUGUGGAGACCUUGCUCACAGCAUUUGCUGCGCUUUGCCUUCAGAUACGUGCAUCCAUCCUGCAUGCAUUUCUCUCCCCAGCUUGACUCUAAACUCCCCAAGGGCAGGGGCAACAUCUAGAUUGCCCUGAUAUACGUACACAAUCCUGGGCAGAGGGAGAGGCAUAUUUGUCUGUAGAACUGUAUUAGGCAUUUAUAUUUACUUCAUAGCUAUUCCAUCCACUCCUGCAGUAGCUGCAGGUGAGAUCAGGCCCAGUUCCUCUGGCAGCUCUGGGCAGGGGAAAUGGGCCUCUGUUUGCAAGCUUGUUACUCUCCUGUAUAGUAGAGUCACUGAAGCACUAUCUUGCCUGCAUAGGAUGAUUCAUGCUGAAGGAGGAAUGUGGCUUCUACCCAAGAGAAGCUGAGAGUGGCAUUGAGGAAAUCAAAUGACACUGGGACAGUGAAGGGCCCUUGGCUUGGGGGCUGAAACCACCUGGAUGUCAGUCCAGGCUCUAUCUCUCAGUAACUCUGUGUCCUUGAGCGAGAUCCUCCACCUCUCUGAAUCUCAUAUGCCCCAGGCCGCUAUCUCUAAACCCCUACACAUUUUAGAUUGUCUGCCUUUGAGCUCACUGACCUCUGAGGUAACACACCUUUUCUUCACAUGGACUAGAUUUCCCUGUAAGCACCAUUUUCCAUGGCUAUUUCCCCAACUAGAAGUUGAGGUCUUUGGAGGCGGUGACCACAGUUUAUUCAUCCUUACUUCCCUGGAGCCCACCAUUAUUCCUAGAAAAUGAAGAUGAUAAUACAAUCACCUAUCACACAGGAUUGUGAAUUAGAGGUCUAUUUACGGAAGUGCUUAAUAUGGUGUCUUUUUCACAUAGGAAGCAUAAAAAAGCUUCUGGCUCUUGCAAUAUUUAUUCAGUGAAGGUGUGAAAUGAACCAUCCUAUUGGAAUAGCUGGCAUUUUCCCCAUUUUACAGAUGAGGUAACUGAGUCUCGGAGACACAAGCGUGUUGGAGGUUCUUGUACGGGAAAGAUGCAGCCGACUGGCGUGCACAUUGUGUUGGUGAUGGUGAGAAUUUGCAGAGGGUAGAAGGAUGGCUUUUUGUUCAAGAGACUUUAAGAAGGAGGAGGCUCUUGCUCACAGUGGUUGGGGAACAGUUCUGUUGGGAAAUCCUGAGCCCUAGAAUUCCGGAGUCCACAACAGGAAGAACCUGAAGAUCCUGUAGGAAAUGUGUCCUGAGGAUUAAUGGUGGGUCUAAAUGCUGAGUGAGGACUUUUCUCUUUCCUCAUCUGCAUUUGGGAGAUCUUUACUUUUCCUUUUUAAAGAUCAAUGUGCUAUAUUUCUUUUUUUCUGAAGGUACAUCUAUUAAACUAACGGUGGUUGAGCAGGCAGACAAUUCCCCACCAUGUAAUUAACCCCCUCGGGGUCCCAUUAAGAUCCAAUGAUAUUUUGUGAUUUUAUUAACUAAAAGUAAAUAGGGACGGUAGCUACUGGGGAGCUCAGAUUUAGAAUUCUCGGUCUCUGGAGCACAAGGGGUUCACUUUAACAGUGUGUUCCCUGCCUAAGCAUUUUCUAUGUGUUCUCGCUGUUAAUUCACUAUUGUAUUGAAUCCUACAGGGGAGUAUAAUGUAUUGGUUAGGAGAGAAUUCUCGGGAGCUGGGCUUCGGCAGUACUAACUGAACGAUCUUGGAUAAGUUACUCAACUCUCUGAGCUUCGGCUUUUUCAUCUAAAAUAUGAGGGUGACGAUAGCAUUUACUGCCUUGUGGUAAGGAUGAAAUAAGAUAAGCAGCCAAGUGCACGGGAGAGUCUGAGGCACUUAGCUAAUACUCUUCAAAUGCUAUUGCUCCAUAGCAGCAGUAAAAUCAGGGGCCCUGGGUGUCCACCUCUUCUUCUCAGGUACAGAGACAGGCCCAGUGGGUAGGUGAACAUGGCCCAAGACCACCCAAGUGACAGCUGGGAGGUAAACCAGGUCUGGUUGGCUCCAAAGCCGGUACUUCUUCCUACUCUGUUAGCACCAGGAAUAACUGGCCACUGCUCUGUGGGUACCAGUUAGACAGUAAAUAAGAGAAGGCAUUUCCAUGCACUUCAUCCAGAUUCCAGAACCCUGCAGGCGAGAGACUGAGACAGAGCGGGAGAGGAUAGUUUGGGGAAAGGCAUUAGGGGCUGCAAGAGGCCUUUGUGUGCCCCCGGCCAGCUCCUGGAUGUGGGAAGGGGCUCAGCAUGGCCUCAGUGGAGGUGAGAAGUGCACAUAGCCAGGAAGAUGCUGAAAGGUCUUUCAGGCCAUGCUGAGAACUCUCAUUUCCCUUCUCAGAAGAAUUGAAAACCGUUGAAGGGCUUAAAUCAAGGGAGUGAUUUGAUCUGAACUGUAUUUUUCAUCUAAAAUAUGAGGAUGAUGAUAGCGUUUACUUCCUUGUGGUAAGAAUGAAAUAAGAUAAGCAGCGAAGUGCAAGGGAGAGUCUGAGGCACUCAGACUGCCAGUUGGGAAAGAAUGGGAAGGUGUGAGUGGCUGGCAAGAGGGGAGGGGAGGAGAACAGUUGGCAGACAACUGCUGAAUGAUUUCUCGGUGCGUCUCCAGUACCCAGAAGAGCCUCGCCUCUUUGCAGUCCUGUUGGCUUGAAGUGUGAAUGCACAUACCCAGGGUGUUUAUUCCAUGCAGUUUUGUGUCCCCAGAGGUCUCCAGCAUCACCUGCUGCCCAUCUCACCCUUGCAGAUGGGGUGCUCUUCUAGCAGAAGUCAGUGCACUGGGAGAGGGAACAUGUGACCAGGCUGGGAGGGCUGAGUCAGGAUGCAUGAACUGUCACAAGGGUGUCAGGUUCUAGUGCCUUUUCCCACCUGGCAACAGGUAAUGGGACACGAGUAGCUGCCUGUACUGUGAACCCAGAGCAUCCUGGAUGAAUGCGAUGUCACACCAGCCCCGUGGGCUAGGAAAUGGAACUAUGUGCCAGCCCAGCUGUACCCGUGCAGAGCACAGGCAGGAACCUGGGGUAUAUGAGAGCAGCGCUGCCUGAUGUGGCCUCAUGCCAGGCCCCGUGGAUCACAGGCUCUGCUGGUCCCCAUGGGCUGGGGAAAGUUAGCAGUGAUCACAGUGAGGACCUGGGUUUGGUAUUGCAGCUGUUAAGCAGAGAGAGGGAGGCACAGAGCCAAGACAUAUUCUUUAGACAUGACACCUCUCAGGUGCCCCGGAAGGCUGUGGCACACUUGGGCUUGGCAUUGAGAACUGAGGGCUCUUGGGAAUAGUUUUCCUUGGAAAUUUUGGGGUGGAGACCACUCCCCCCCCAAUAAAAUCCAGUUUAGACAAAGCAGGUUGCAGACCCAGAUGCUCUCUCUCAUGGGCAGAGCUCACCCCCUCUGUGAGUUAUAAUAGCACAUCCAGCUUGUCUUUAGAACCGGGAUAUUUUACACCCCAUCUCCUGUGGGAUCAUCUGUCCUUGCUUGUCCCUGAGGAGGUUACAUUAUUGUUUCUAGAUUUCAUGAGUUCUGGGUAACAGCUCCAAGUAUGCUGGUCUGUGUUGUGUGCCCUUCGGUAAGUCACUGAACCACUCUGAUCCUCUGUAGUCUCAUGUGUACAAGGGGGAUGAUUGCUCUGGUGCUGCCAUAGGCAGGUUAUGAGGAUCAAGCAAGGUAAUAAGCUUGAAGAACUUUAGAAAGCUAGAAAGCAGAAUAUGACUGCUUUAUUAGUAUUAGUGAAAAUAAUAAGUUACUAUCAGUAGACCCUUAUUGAGCAUCUACUAUGUCCUAGGUGCUAGGGAUGCCCAGAUGUGGGACACAUGGGUCUUUCACUUCUAGGAACUUCUAAUCCUCAUGUAUAUAUAAUAGAGCUAAUAAUACUAACUAAGGCUUACUAUGUGCCAGGUACUGUUCUCAAUAUUCUGUGUGCAUUAAGUAAUUCAAUCCUCACAGUAACCCUACUAUGUAAGACACUAUUACCAUCAUUUCACAGAUGAGGAAACUGAGGCACAGAGGGACCAGGUAACUUUUUCAAAGUCAGGAACCUGGUGAGAAUUGGUGCCAGGAUCAAAUCCUUGCCAGCCGGUUGUAGAACCCGUAUUCCUAACCACUACCCCACAUGGUCUGUUGAAGAAGCCUCAAUGACGGCUUUAGGAUUCCCCGUGGUAGUUACACAAGAUAUCUGUCUGUGUGCAAAGUGUGGGUUAUUAACCACUUCCCCAUGUGGCCUUGGGUUCACCAUUGAAGCCCAGAGAAAGACAACUGAACUCCUUGGUGCGGUGAAGUCACUGACAUGAUGUCACACUUCCACUUGGAGGCAUCUUUCAUGUCACUGAACAGAGUCGUGGUGGCAAGUUAAUAAAGGGACCCAGAGACAGUCCUGUGGUAGGAGAGGGCUUACACCAAGCACCAUAGCUACUGUGACCACGUGGCCCUUGAGGAGGCAGCCUGGAGAAGCCCAUCAUGCAUCUGGUGCCAACCCCCAUCAGUGGCCCCCACUGGCCAAAUCCAGGCAAUGGGACCCUGGCUGACCUCAGCCACACAAAGCAGCUUCUCAGGGCACAGAACUGUGCAGACAAGGCUGGAUGUGGGGUCUGUAGGAGUAGACAGAGAGUAUCUAGAGGAAUGAUAAAUCUGUUUCAAACCCCAGAGUCUUCUGCCACUCGAACCUGAAUUUUCAGUCAUCCUGUUGCAAGAAUAUGGCAGUGCUAGAACCAUGCACGGACGUGCUUGGGAACAUCAAAGCUUUGGGUA